CGAGCGAAAGAGAAUCUCUGAUUGAUCGGGGCGCGAGUGUGUAGAGGAUGAAGUUUGGAUGAAAUGCAGAGGAUUUUGGAGGAUCGAGGCCUCAAGCUGCGAUUUCCAAAGCCCAGCAAAGAGAAAUGCCAGUGGCUGGAGGAAGUAUUAGAGGCAGCACGGAUUCUAGAGCUCAACGAGGUAAGAGUUCGUCAUUGCUCUAUCGAAGACUUGCUGUUUUCUUUUGUUUUUCUUCUUUGCUCUCAGACAGAAUGUUAUUUUCUGGAAGGCGAUGAAAGAGGCAUGAUCAGUGCUCGAAACGAAAUGGCGUCGUUCGAUCUUUGCUGGUUUCCAGCACUUAUUCCGAGCUCGAGAAAAUUGUUUUGAAAAGGCUGGAUGAAUUUGGCACUGAUGAAAGCAAUGUAGGCAACAUUGACAUAGCUGAUUUUGAAGGAUAUGGUAGAGGAGGGGCUGCAGCGUGCGAUUUAAAAGCUGGAGAUCUCGUCCUUGAGAUUCCCAGCGAGAUAAUUAUCUCUGAAACUGUCACGCUGGAGUCUGGUGAGUCGGAUUUCUGUUCGAUUCUCUCCGUGAAAAGUACUGGCGAGCAGUAGAUAGUUGUUGAAGUUUUCUGGGAGGGGAUUGUUCGUUUUCACGGGAUUCCUCAGGACAUUGUUUGGUCUAUUUUCUCCACUGAUCGUUCAAGAUUCUGAUCUACAAGAGCAUCUUCACGCCA
Long non-coding RNA from Selaginella moellendorffii, 712 nucleotides. RefSeq lists it as uncharacterized. The record is from RefSeq and is a predicted model, not a curated record. The transcript is spliced from 2 exons. NCBI's taxonomy places the organism in Eukaryota, Viridiplantae, Streptophyta, Lycopodiopsida, Selaginellales, Selaginellaceae.